AGCGUAUACGGUGGAUGCCUAGGCAGUUAGAGGCGAUGAAGGACGUGUAAGUCUGCGAAAAGCUGUGGUGAGCUGACAAAAAGCAUUUGAGCCACAGAUAUCCGAAUGGGGAAACCCACCUCUUAGAGGUAUCGUUAUGUGAAUACAUAGCAUAACGAGGCGAACCGGGAGAACUGAAACAUCUAAGUACCCCGAGGAAAAGAAAUCAACCGAGAUUCCCCUAGUAGCGGCGAGCGAACGGGGAUUAGCCCUUAAGUUAUCAGUGUUUUAGUGGAAGGCUCUGGAAAGUGCCGCCAUAGUGGGUGAUAGCCCCGUACACGACAAAACGCUGGUAGUGAAAUCGAGUAGGUCGGGACACGUGUUAUCUUGACUGAAUAUGGGGGGACCAUCCUCCAAGGCUAAAUACUCCUAACUGACCGAUAGUGAACCAGUACCGUGAGGGAAAGGCGAAAAGAACCCCUGUGAGGGGAGUGAAAUAGAACCUGAAACCGUAUACGUACAAGCAGUCGGAGCCCUUCGGGGUGACGGCGUACCUUUUGUAUAAUGGGUCAGCGACUUAUAUUUAGUAGCGAGGUUAACCGAUUAGGGGAGCCGUAGCGAAAGCGAGUGUUAACUGCGCGUUUAGUUGCUAGGUAUAGACCCGAAACCCGGUGAUCUAGCCAUGGGCAGGUUGAAGGUUGAGUAACAUCAACUGGAGGACCGAACUCACUAAUGUUGAAAAAUUAGGAGAUGACUUGUGGCUGGGGGUGAAAGGCCAAUCAAACCGGGAGAUAGCUGGUUCUCCCCGAAAGCUAUUUAGGUAGCGCCUCGGACGAACACCUACGGGGGUAGAGCACUGUUUGGGCUAGGGGGUCAUCCCGACUUACCAACCCCAUGCAAACUCCGAAUACCGUAGAGUGCUAUCCGGGAGACACACGGCGGGUGCUAACGUCCGUCGUGAAGAGGGAAACAACCCAGACCGCCAGCUAAGGUCCCAAAAUAUUGCUAAGUGGGAAACGAUGUGGAAAGGCCCAGACAGCUAGGAGGUUGGCUUAGAAGCAGCCACCCUUUAAAGAAAGCGUAAUAGCUCACUAGUCGAGUCGGUCUGCGCGGAAGAUGUAACGGGGCUAAGCAAUAUACCGAAGCUGCGGCAGCAUACUUAGUAUGCUGGGUAGGGGAGCGUUGUGUAAGUGGCUGAAGGUGACUCGAGAGGGUUGCUGGACAUAUCACAAGUGCGAAUGCUGACAUGAGUAACGAUAAAGGGGGUGAAAAACCCCCUCGCCGGAAGACCAAGGUUUCCUGUCCCAUGCUAAUCAGGGCAGGGUAAGUCGGCCCCUAAGGCGAGGCCGAAAGGCGUAGUCGAUGGGAAACGGGUUAAUAUUCCCGUACCGGUGUUAUCAGUGAUGGGGGGACGGAGAAGGCUAUGCAAGCUUGGCGUUGGUUGUCCAAGUGAAAGUGCGUAGGCUGAGGACUUAGGUAAAUCCGGGUUCUUAAGGCCGAGACACGAGACGAAUCACCAAGGUGAUGAAGUUGCAGAUGCCCUGCUUCCAGGAAAAGCCUCUAAACUUAUGAUAACACUGACCGUACCCCAAACCGACACAGGUGGUCAGGUAGAGAAUACCAAGGCGCUUGAGAGAACUCGGGUGAAGGAACUCGGCAAAAUAGUACCGUAACUUCGGGAGAAGGUACGCCCCCGGUGGUGAACGCUUUACGCGGUAAGCUAUUGGGGGUCGCAGUGACCAGGUGGCUGGGACUGUUUAUUAAAAACACAGCACUGUGCUAAAUCGAAAGAUGACGUAUACGGUGUGACACCUGCCCGGUGCCGGAAGGUUAAUUGAUGGGGUUAGCUUAGGCGAAGCUCUUGAUCGAAGCCCCGGUAAACGGCGGCCGUAACUAUAACGGUCCUAAGGUAGCGAAAUUCCUUGUCGGGUAAGUUCCGACCUGCACGAAUGGUGUAACCAUGGCCACGCUGUCUCCACCCGAGACUCAGUGAAAUUGAAAUUGCCGUGAAGAUGCGGUGUACCCGCGGCUAGACGGAAAGACCCCGUGAACCUUUACUACAGCUUGGCACUGAACAUUGACCCUACAUGUGUAGGAUAGGUGGGAGGCUUUGAAGCAUUGUCGCCAGAUGAUGUGGAGCCGACCUUGAAAUACCACCCUUGUAUGUUUGAUGUUCUAACGUUGGUCCCUUAUCGGGAUUGCGGACAGUGUCUGGUGGGUAGUUUGACUGGGGCGGUCUCCUCCCAAAGCGUAACGGAGGAGCACGAAGGUUGGCUAAUCCUGGUCGGACAUCAGGAGGUUAGUGUAAUGGCAUAAGCCAGCUUAACUGCGAGACAGACACGUCGAGCAGGUACGAAAGUAGGUCAUAGUGAUCCGGUGGUUCUGAAUGGAAGGGCCAUCGCUCAACGGAUAAAAGGUACUCCGGGGAUAACAGGCUGAUACCGCCCAAGAGUUCAUAUCGACGGCGGUGUUUGGCACCUCGAUGUCGGCUCAUCACAUCCUGGGGCUGAAGUCGGUCCCAAGGGUAUGGCUGUUCGCCAUUUAAAGUGGUACGCGAGCUGGGUUUAGAACGUCGUGAGACAGUUCGGUCCCUAUCUGCCGUGGGCGCUGGAUGAUUGAGGGGAGCUGCUCCUAGUACGAGAGGACCGGAGUGGACGAACCGCUGGUGUUCGGGUUGUCAUGCCAAUGGCACUGCCCGGUAGCUACGUUCGGAAUCGAUAACCGCUGAAAGCAUCUAAGCGGGAAGCGAGCCCCAAGAUGAGUCAUCCCUGACAGUUUACUGUCCUAAAGGGUUGU
Molecule: ribosomal RNA, 2775 nt
Filed under: Lacimicrobium sp. SS2-24
Lineage: Bacteria; Pseudomonadati; Pseudomonadota; Gammaproteobacteria; Alteromonadales; Alteromonadaceae
Description: bacterial LSU rRNA
Rfam family: Bacterial large subunit ribosomal RNA
Source: RNAcentral